CCCCCCCUCGCCCCAACCCAAACACCCUCAGCCCCUUGCUCCUCGGCCGCGCCAGGAAUGCGGACUAAUUAGGGUCCAAUGUCUCCUUAAAGAGACAAGCUCGGCCUUGUGUAACGCGCCGAAACCCCUGUUGAGACAAGAGAGGGAGGAUCGCGCCGAUCCCACUUCGUUCGGUUCACAUCAAUUUUACGCGCCGCUGGAGCCGGCAUAAUUUUCCGUGUGAACGCAGACUCGGGCCCCUGUUCUUGCCUAGAGCAGGAGGCUGAGCCGCGAGACGCUCCCCCGGGCGGGAGGGCGCCCCUCCGCCCCCGAGGGGGCUGUGGCUGCCGUUCAGCCCGGACGUGGGGCCGGUUUCCCCGAGCAGCUCUGCGGGGACGCCCCCGAGUCGCUCGGCUCGCGGGCCCCGGGGGCGGAACCGCCGAGUCUCGAGGUGGGGCUGGAGGCCCGGGGCCAGGGUCGCCCCCUUCCCGAAGAAACUUUGCGGACCGGGAGCCCGCACCGCGCGCGCCCUAGGGCAGCGUCCACGAGGUACCAGUCGCAGGCACGGGACAGGAAACGCCCAGCAGCCCGGGGAUGCUCCUUCUCCCCGGGCCAGAGGGAGAAGACUGCCCCCUCUUUUUCCUGUUCUUUCAAGUCAAGUCUGAACCGGGCCGGGCCUCGCGGAUCACGAGAGAGGGCGGGUCGGCGACAGUGGGGAUAAGCCCCGCAAGAGCGGGGGGAUGCGGGGGCACAGGCAGGUGGAGGGCAUUUUUGGGAAAGGGGCUAAAGAGGCGAGGACCGACUCGGUGGCCAGAGGGGACGGCCCGAGGCCGACGGCGUCUUCAUCCUCAGUCCUCCUCCAGCGAGCCAGGGGUUGGAGAACUCUGUGUGGACAGUUUUCUGAUCCUCCUCGGUCCCAUGUGCCCAGUCCAAAAUGAGACGUGCGAUCUACAUGACAAAGAGAAAGAUCUCCGAAAGAUGCAGAAGGAAGCAACCCCUCUCCCAGAACAACACAGAAACUUGGGGCCUGAACUCACCACCCAGAGGUCAAGAGUCACAUGUUCUCCCAGCUGAGCCAGCCGCGCACCCCUGUGCUUCUCUGUUUGCACUUUUCACAAAUUGCUAAGCCAAGCUGUGAAGUCAACCUUGGGACUUGUCUUAUCCCUACCACACAGUGGGGAGUUCCAGAAUUUUUAUGUGAGUGGGGCUCAGCAACAGCAGUCCUAGUGGAAGCUAGGCCUGGGGUUUCAAUCUUAAUGUGAUAUAUGCAAAGCAAGCACAUUAUUUUUUCUUAUAUGUUAUAAAUUAUGUAUUCUUCCACCAGGUAUUUAUUGAAAAAAAAUGUUUUGACCUAACAUGUGCCAAGAUAAGGGAAUUUAGCAAUAAAUUACUGUUUUUGAUUUAUUAUCUCUGAGCU
RNAcentral lists this long non-coding RNA (1396 nucleotides) under Vulpes vulpes (red fox). RNAcentral describes it as "lncRNA (ENSVVUG00000001448.1)". Lineage: Eukaryota; Metazoa; Chordata; Mammalia; Carnivora; Canidae. The record is from RNAcentral.